UCCCAGACUCCUACGGGAGGCAGCAGUGGGGAAUAUUGCACAAUGGGGGAAACCCUGAUGCAGCAACGCCGCGUGAGUGAAGAAGUAUUUCGGUGUGUAAAGCUCUAUCAGCAGGGAAGAAAAUGACGGUACCUGAGUAAGAAGCCCCGGCUAACUACGUGCCAGCAGCCGCGGUAAUACGUAGGGGGCAAGCGUUAUCCGGAUUUACUGGGUGUAAAGGGAGCGUAGACGGCGAUGCAAGUCUGAAGUGAAAGCCCGGGGCUCAACCCCGGGACUGCUUUGGAAACUGUAUGGCUGGAGUGCUGGAGAGGCAAGCGGAAUUCCUAGUGUAGCGGUGAAAUGCGUAGAUAUACGGAGGAACACCAGUGGCGAAGGCGGAUUGCUGGACAGUAACUGACGCUGGGGCGCGAAAGCGUGGGGAGCAAACAGGAUUAGAUACCCGUGUA
RNAcentral lists this ribosomal RNA (446 nucleotides) under uncultured bacterium. RNAcentral's name for it is "bacterial SSU rRNA". It matches the Rfam family "Bacterial small subunit ribosomal RNA", at positions 329 to 792 of the family's 1533-position model. The record is from RNAcentral.